GACGAACGCUGGCGGCGUGCUUAACACAUGCAAGUCGAACGGAAAGGCCCUGCUUUUGUGGGGUUCUCGAGUGGCGAACGGGUGAGUAACACGUGAGUAACCUGCCCUUGACUUUGGGAUAACUUCAGGAAACUGGGGCUAAUACCGGAUAGGAGCUCCUGCUGCAUGGUGGGGGUUGGAAAGUUUCGGCGGUUGGGGAUGGACUCGCGGCUUAUCAGCUUGUUGGUGGGGUAGUUGCUUGCCAAGGCUUUGACGGGUAGCCGGCCUGAGAGGGUGACCGGCCACAUUGGGACUGAGAUACGGCCCAGACUCCUACGGGAGGCAGCAGUGGGGAAUAUUGUACAAUGGGCGGAAGCCUGAUGCAGCAACGCCGCGUGUGGGAUGACGGCCUUCGGGUUGUGAACCGCUUUCGCCUGUGACGAAGCGUGAGUGACGGUAAUGGGUAAAGAAGCACCGGCUAACUACGUG
RNAcentral lists this ribosomal RNA (468 nucleotides) under uncultured bacterium. RNAcentral's name for it is "partial 16S ribosomal RNA". It matches the Rfam family "Bacterial small subunit ribosomal RNA", at positions 28 to 507 of the family's 1533-position model. The record is from RNAcentral.